Molecule: ribosomal RNA, 730 nt
Filed under: uncultured bacterium
Lineage: Bacteria
Description: bacterial SSU rRNA
Rfam family: Bacterial small subunit ribosomal RNA
Source: RNAcentral
AACAGGAUUAGAUACCCUGGUAGUCCACGCCGUAAACGAUGAGUGCUAGGUGUUGGGGGGCUACGCCCCUCAGUGCCGAAGGUAACCCAUUAAGCACUCCGCCUGGGGAGUACGGCCGCAAGGCUGAAACUCAAAGGAAUUGACGGGGGCCCGCACAAGCGGUGGAGCAUGUGGUUUAAUUCGAAGCAACGCGAAGAACCUUACCAGGGCUUGACAUCCCGCUGACCCCUCCAGAGAUGGAGGUUUCCUUCGGGACAGCGGUGACAGGUGGUGCAUGGUUGUCGUCAGCUCGUGUCGUGAGAUGUUGGGUUCAGUCCCGCAACGAGCGCAACCCUUGUCGUUAGUUGCCAGCAUUUCGGAUGGGCACUCUAACGAGACGGCCGGUGAAAGCCGGAGGAAGGUGGGGAUGACGUCAAAUCAUCAUGCCCCUUAUGUCCUGGGCUACACACGUGCUACAAUGGCUGGUACAAAGGGCAGCGAACCCGCGAGGGGGAGCCAAUCCCAAAAAGCCAGUCUCAGUUCGGAUCGCAGGCUGCAACUCGCCUGCGUGAAGCCGGAAUCGCUAGUAAUCGCGGAUCAGCAUGCCGCGGUGGAUACGUUCCCGGGCCUUGUACACACCGCCCGUCACACCACGAGAGUUUGCAACACCCGAAGUCGGUGAGGCAACCUUUUAGGAGCCAGCCGCCGAAGGUGGGGCAGAUGAUUGGGGUGAAGUCGUAACAAGGUAACC